RNAcentral lists this ribosomal RNA (466 nucleotides) under uncultured bacterium. RNAcentral's name for it is "partial 16S ribosomal RNA". It matches the Rfam family "Bacterial small subunit ribosomal RNA", at positions 28 to 507 of the family's 1533-position model. The record is from RNAcentral.
GACGAACGCUGGCGGCGCGCCUAACACAUGCAAGUCGAACGAUCGAGAGAGAGCUUGCUUUCUCGAGCGAGUGGCGAACGGGUGAGUAACGCGUGAGGAACCUGCCUCAAAGAGGGGGACAACAGUUGGAAACGACUGCUAAUACCGCAUAAGCCCACGGGUCGGCAUCGACCAGAGGGAAAAGGAGCAAUCCGCUUUGAGAUGGCCUCGCGUCCGAUUAGCUAGUUGGUGAGGUAAUGGCCCACCAAGGCGACGAUCGGUAGCCGGACUGAGAGGUUGAACGGCCACAUUGGGACUGAGACACGGCCCAGACUCCUACGGGAGGCAGCAGUGGGGAAUAUUGCACAAUGGGGGAAACCCUGAUGCAGCGACGCCGCGUGGAGGAAGAAGGUCUUCGGAUUGUAAACUCCUGUUGUUGGGGAAGAUAAUGACGGUACCCAACAAGGAAGUGACGGCUAACUACGUG